This 433-nucleotide ribosomal RNA is filed under the name uncultured bacterium. Its description in RNAcentral is "partial 16S ribosomal RNA". It matches the Rfam family "Bacterial small subunit ribosomal RNA", at positions 29 to 507 of the family's 1533-position model. The record is from RNAcentral.
AACGAACGCUGGCGGCAUGCCUAACACAUGCAAGUCGAACGAGACCUUCGGGUCUAGUGGCGCACGGGUGCGUAACGCGUGGGAACCUGCCCUUAGGUUCGGAAUAACUCCCCGAAAGGGGUGCUAAUACCGGAUAAUGUCUUCGGACCAAAGAUUUAUCGCCUUUGGAUGGGCCCGCGUUGGAUUAGCUAGUUGGUAGGGUAAAAGCCUACCAAGGCGACGAUCCAUAGCUGGUCUGAGAGGAUGAUCAGCCACACUGGGACUGAGACACGGCCCAGACUCCUACGGGAGGAAGCAGUGGGGAAUAUUGGACAAUGGGCGAAAGCCUGAUCCAGCAAUGCCGCGUGAGUGAUGAAGGCCUUAGGGUUGUAAAGCUCUUUUACCCGGGAUGAUAAUGACCGUACCGGGAGAAUAAGCUCCGGCUAACUCCGUG